CAAGUCAGGCACGUGGACCGGCACCUCAGCGGCCAAGUCAGGCACGUGGACCGGCACCUCAGCGGCCAAGUCAGGCACGUGGACCGGCACCUCAGCGGCCAAGUCAGGCACAUAGACUGGCACCUCAGCGGCCAGGCCAGUCAUGUAGACAGGUCCCUCGGGGGCUAAGCCGGUCACGUGGACAGGUACCUCUGGAGCUAGGUCGCUCACGUGGACGGGGGGCUCUGUGGCCAAGUCUGGGACAUGAACAGAGGUCUCAGAGUUAACAUCGGUUACAGAAACUGAGAUUUCAUCAGCCAGACUGGACACAGGAACUUGGGCUUCGGUUAGUA
This is a long non-coding RNA of Spea bombifrons (plains spadefoot toad), 332 nucleotides long. RefSeq lists it as uncharacterized. The record is from RefSeq and is a predicted model, not a curated record. NCBI's taxonomy places the organism in Eukaryota, Metazoa, Chordata, Amphibia, Anura, Pelobatidae. The transcript has 3 exons.